CUCGUAGGCGGUUCGUCGCGUCCGGUGUGAAAGUCCAUCGCUUAACGGUGGAUCUGCGCCGGGUACGGGCGGGCUGGAGUGCGGUAGGGGAGACUGGAAUUCCUAGUGUAGCGGUGAAAUGCGUAGAUAUUAGGAGGAACACCAGUGGCGAAGGCGGCUUACUGGACGGUAACUGACGUUGAGGCUCGAAAGCGUGGGGAGCAAACA
This 207-nucleotide ribosomal RNA is filed under the name uncultured bacterium. RNAcentral describes it as "partial 16S ribosomal RNA". It matches the Rfam family "Bacterial small subunit ribosomal RNA", at positions 568 to 774 of the family's 1533-position model. The record is from RNAcentral.